RNAcentral lists this ribosomal RNA (207 nucleotides) under uncultured bacterium. RNAcentral's name for it is "partial 16S ribosomal RNA". It matches the Rfam family "Bacterial small subunit ribosomal RNA", at positions 568 to 774 of the family's 1533-position model. The record is from RNAcentral.
CACGUAGGCGGAUUGUUAAGUCGGGGGUGAAAUCCUGGAGCUCAACUCCAGAACUGCCUUCGAAACUGGCGAUCUUGAGUCCGGGAGAGGUGAGUGGAACUGCGAGUGUAGAGGUGAAAUUCGUAGAUAUUCGCAAGAACACCAGUGGCGAAGGCGGCUCACUGGCCCGGUACUGACGCUGAGGUGCGAAAGCGUGGGGAGCAAACA